UACGGGGGGAGCAAGCGUUGUUCGGAUUUACUGGGCGUAAAGGGCGCGUAGGCGGCCAGCACAAGUCAGUUGUGAAAUCUCCGGGCUUAACUCGGAAAGGUCAACUGAUACUGUGCGGCUAGGGUGCAGAAGGGGCAACUGGAAUUCUCGGUGUAGCGGUGAAAUGCGUAGAUAUCGAGAGGAACACCUGCGGCGAAGGCGGGUUGCUGGGCUGACACUGACGCUGAUGCGCGAAAGCCAGGGGAGCGAACGGG
Molecule: ribosomal RNA, 254 nt
Filed under: uncultured bacterium
Lineage: Bacteria
Description: partial 16S ribosomal RNA
Rfam family: Bacterial small subunit ribosomal RNA
Source: RNAcentral